UACGUAGGGGGCUAGCGUUGUCCGGAAUCAUUGGGCGUAAAGCGCGUGUAGGCGGUCCGGUAAGUCCGCUGUGAAAGUCGGGGGCUCAACCCUCGGAUGCCGGUGGAUACUGUCGGGCUUGAGUACGGAAGAGGCGAGUGGAAUUCCUGGUGUAGCGGUGAAAUGCGCAGAUAUCAGGAGGAACACCGGUGGCGAAGGCGGUCUGCUGGGCAGUUGCUGACACUGAGGCGCGACAGCGUGGGGAGCAAACAGG
This 253-nucleotide ribosomal RNA is filed under the name uncultured bacterium. RNAcentral describes it as "partial 16S ribosomal RNA". It matches the Rfam family "Bacterial small subunit ribosomal RNA", at positions 524 to 776 of the family's 1533-position model. The record is from RNAcentral.